This 663-nucleotide ribosomal RNA is filed under the name Trichoderma longibrachiatum. RNAcentral's name for it is "eukaryotic LSU rRNA". The stretch from base 280 to 433 matches the Rfam family "5.8S ribosomal RNA". Lineage: Eukaryota; Fungi; Ascomycota; Sordariomycetes; Hypocreales; Hypocreaceae. The record is from RNAcentral.
UGGAAGUAAAAGUCGUAACAAGGUCUCCGUUGGUGAACCAGCGGAGGGAUCAUUACCGAGUUUACAACUCCCAAACCCCAAUGUGAACGUUACCAAUCUGUUGCCUCGGCGGGAUUCUCUUGCCCCGGGCGCGUCGCAGCCCCGGAUCCCAUGGCGCCCGCCGGAGGACCAACUCCAAACUCUUUUUUUCUCUCCGUCGCGGCUCCCGUCGCGGCUCUGUUUUAUUUUUGCUCUGAGCCUUUCUCGGCGACCCUAGCGGGCGUCUCGAAAAUGAAUCAAAACUUUCAACAACGGAUCUCUUGGUUCUGGCAUCGAUGAAGAACGCAGCGAAAUGCGAUAAGUAAUGUGAAUUGCAGAAUUCAGUGAAUCAUCGAAUCUUUGAACGCACAUUGCGCCCGCCAGUAUUCUGGCGGGCAUGCCUGUCCGAGCGUCAUUUCAACCCUCGAACCCCUCCGGGGGGUCGGCGUUGGGGAUCGGCCCCUCACCGGGCCGCCCCCGAAAUACAGUGGCGGUCUCGCCGCAGCCUCUCCUGCGCAGUAGUUUGCACACUCGCACCGGGAGCGCGGCGCGGCCACAGCCGUAAAACACCCCAAACUUCUGAAAUGUUGACCUCGGAUCAGGUAGGAAUACCCGCUGAACUUAAGCAUAUCAAUAAGCGGAGGA